GACGAACGCUGGCGGCGUGCCUAAUACAUGCAAGUCGAACGCUUCUUUCCUCCCGAGUGCUUGCACUCAAUUGGAAAGAGGAGUGGCGGACGGGUGAGUAACACGUGGGUAACCUACCCAUCAGAGGGGGAUAACACUUGGAAACAGGUGCUAAUACCGCAUAACAGUUUAUGCCGCAUGGCAUAAGAGUGAAAGGCGCUUUCGGGUGUCGCUGAUGGAUGGACCCGCGGUGCAUUAGCUAGUUGGUGAGGUAACGGCUCACCAAGGCCACGAUGCAUAGCCGACCUGAGAGGGUGAUCGGCCACACUGGGACUGAGACACGGCCCAGACUCCUACGGGAGGCAGCAGUAGGGAAUCUUCGGCAAUGGACGAAAGUCUGACCGAGCAACGCCGCGUGAGUGAAGAAGGUGUUCGGAUCGUAAAACUCUGUUGUUAGAGAAGAACAAGGACGUUAGUAACUGAACGUCCCCUGACGGUAUCUAACCAGAAAGCCAUGGCUAACUACGUG
RNAcentral lists this ribosomal RNA (508 nucleotides) under uncultured bacterium. RNAcentral's name for it is "partial 16S ribosomal RNA". It matches the Rfam family "Bacterial small subunit ribosomal RNA", at positions 28 to 507 of the family's 1533-position model. The record is from RNAcentral.